This 176-nucleotide unclassified non-coding RNA is filed under the name plant metagenome. Its description in RNAcentral is "partial contains small subunit ribosomal RNA, internal transcribed spacer 1, and 5.8S ribosomal RNA". The record is from RNAcentral.
UUUCCGUAGGUGAACCUGCGGAAGGAUCAUUAGUGAAUACGAGGUGCCGAUUUCGAUCGACCUCAUAUCCCAUUUUAACACUGUGCACUGUCAAUUUUUGACGCGAGACUAUGUAUGAAUGUCGGAUGACCAUAAAUAAAAAAUAACAACUUUCAGCAACGGAUCUCUUGGCUCUC